RNAcentral lists this ribosomal RNA (301 nucleotides) under uncultured bacterium. RNAcentral's name for it is "partial 16S ribosomal RNA". It matches the Rfam family "Bacterial small subunit ribosomal RNA", at positions 509 to 807 of the family's 1533-position model. The record is from RNAcentral.
CAGUAGCCACGGUAAUACGAAGGGUGCAAGCGUUACUCGGAAUUACUGGGCGUAAAGCGUGCGUAGGUGGUGGUUUAAGUCCGUUGUGAAAGCCCUGGGGUCAACCUGGGAAUUGCAGUGGAUACUGGGUCACUAGAGUGUGGUAGAGGAUAGUGGAAUUUCCGGUGUAGCAGUGAAAUGCGUAGAGAUCGGAAGGAACAUCUGUGGCGAAGGCGACUAUCUGGGCCAACACUGACACUGAGGCACGAAAGCGUGGGGAGCAAACAGGAUUAGAUACCCCAGUAGUCCCUGUCUCUUAUAC